UACGUAGGGUGCAAGCGUUGUCCGGAAUUAUUGGGCGUAAAGAGCUCGUAGGCGGUCUGUCGCGUCGGCUGUGAAAACCCGGAGCUCAACUCCGGGCCUGCAGUCGAUACGGGCAAACUGGAGUACUGCAGGGGAGACUGGAAUUCCUGGUGUAGCGGUGAAAUGCGCAGAUAUCAGGAGGAACACCGGUGGCGAAGGCGGGUCUCUGGGACGGUACUGACGCUGAGACGCGAAAGCGUGGGGAGCGAACAGG
This 253-nucleotide ribosomal RNA is filed under the name uncultured bacterium. RNAcentral's name for it is "partial 16S ribosomal RNA". It matches the Rfam family "Bacterial small subunit ribosomal RNA", at positions 524 to 776 of the family's 1533-position model. The record is from RNAcentral.